GAGCGGGCGGCGUGCUAUACAUGCAAGUCGAGCGGACAGAAGGGAGCUUGCUCCCGGAUGUUAGCGGCGGACGGGAGAGUAACACGUGGGUAACCUGCCUGUAAGACUGGGAUAACUCCGGGAAACCGGAGCUAAUACCGGAUAGUUCCUUGAACCGCAUGGUUCAAGGAUGAAAGACGGUUUCGGCUGUCACUUACAGAUGGACCCGCGGCGCAUUAGCUAGUUGGUGAGGUAACGGCUCACCAAGGCGACGAUGCGUAGCCGACCUGAGAGGGUGAUCGGCCACACUGGGACUGAGACACGGCCCAGACUCCUACGGGAGGCAGCAGUAGGGAAUCUUCCGCAAUGGACGAAAGUCUGACGGAGCAACGCCGCGUGAGUGAUGAAGGUUUUCGGAUCGUAAAGCUCUGUUGUUAGGGAAGAACAAGUGCAAGAGUAACUGCUUGCACCUUGACGGUACCUAACCAGAAAGCCACGGCUAACUACGUGCCAGCAGCCGCGGUAAUACGUAGGUGGCAAGCGUUGUCCGGAAUUAUUGGGCGUAAAGGGCUCGCAGGCGGUUUCUUAAGUCUGAUGUGAAAGCCCCCGGCUCAACCGGGGAGGGUCAUUGGAAACUGGGAAACUUGAGUGCAGAAGAGGAGAGUGGAAUUCCACGUGUAGCGGUGAAAUGCGUAGAGAUGUGGAGGAACACCAGUGGCGAAGGCGACUCUCUGGUCUGUAACUGACGCUGAGGAGCGAAAGCGUGGGGAGCGAACAGGAUUAGAUACCCUGGUAGUCCACGCCGUAAACGAUGAGUGCUAAGUGUUAGGGGGUUUCCGCCCCUUAGUGCUGCAGCUAACGCAUUAAGCACUCCGCCUGGGGAGUACGGUCGCAAGACUGAAACUCAAAGGAAUUGACGGGGGCCCGCACAAGCGGUGGAGCAUGUGGUUUAAUUCGAAGCAACGCGAAGAACCUUACCAGGUCUUGACAUCCUCUGACAACCCUAGAGAUAGGGCUUUCCCUUCGGGGACAGAGUGACAGGUGGUGCAUGGUUGUCGUCAGCUCGUGUCGUGAGAUGUUGGGUUAAGUCCCGCACGAGCGCAACCCUUGAUCUUAGUUGCCAGCAUUCAGUUGGGCACUCUAAGUGGGACUGCCG
RNAcentral lists this ribosomal RNA (1135 nucleotides) under Bacillus sp. C-21. Its description in RNAcentral is "bacterial SSU rRNA". It matches the Rfam family "Bacterial small subunit ribosomal RNA", at positions 32 to 1154 of the family's 1533-position model. Lineage: Bacteria; Bacillati; Bacillota; Bacilli; Caryophanales; Bacillaceae. The record is from RNAcentral.